AUCGAACGAGAAGAAGAAAGAGGUUAUGUAUCGACAACACCUACCACAUCAUACAUCCAUGCAUCCAUGAUUGUCGGUUCUAUCCAAAUGGCGCUAGGAUGCUGGGCUUUUAUUUUCCUCUUAUGCUUUUGUACGAAAAAACGAACGAAAAGCAAAAAUGAUCACGAUGCUUAAGAUCCGAACACUCAUGUAGAACACGAAUAAGCACAUGCACGACGUACUUAUGUACACAUCAUCCCCCUACCACGACGUUGACGGCACGACGAGCCGUACGCGACUGACGGCAAUUCAGACGAUACGAUACAAUGAGGAAAGAGUGAAUCGAUUUGUAAGGGCAAGAUGUUAAUCGAACGAACGAUUCCAUGAUUGGGAGAAAUUUUUAUGAUGCAUCAAGAGUGUGUGUGAAAAUGAAGAAACUCUUUAAGAAUAUAUAAACGAAGAAAGAGCGUAUGAAGUGACAUUGUGUAGACGUAAGAGCCAAUUGAAUUUUCAGACGACUAGGUAGAUCGAUCGAGCCCCAAAACACUCCCUUUACCCCCAUGGUCGAAACAGUCCCAUGCUCGGCCUAAGUUGAUACGUUACUGGCGUUAUGCGUGCUACGUGUAUAUCACGAUGGAAGGGUGAGAAUGG
RNAcentral lists this unclassified non-coding RNA (630 nucleotides) under Bombus terrestris (buff-tailed bumblebee). RNAcentral describes it as "misc RNA ENSBTSG00005038750.1". Lineage: Eukaryota; Metazoa; Arthropoda; Insecta; Hymenoptera; Apidae. The record is from RNAcentral.